AUUGAACGCUGGCGGCAUGCCUUACACAUGCAAGUCGAGCGCGAAAGGGGGCAACCCCGAGUAGAGCGGCGGACGGGUGAGUAAUACAUCGGAACGUACCCAGUAGUGGGGGACAACCUCGAGAAAUCGAGGCUAAUACCGCAUACGACCCACGGGUGAAAGCGGGGGACCGCAAGGCCUCGCGCUAUUGGAGCGGCCGAUGUCCGAUUAGCUAGUUGGCGGGGUAAGAGCCCACCAAGGCGACGAUCGGUAGCUGGUCUGAGAGGACGACCAGCCACACUGGGACUGAGACACGGCCCAGACUCCUACGGGAGGCAGCAGUGGGGAAUUUUGGACAAUGGGGGCAACCCUGAUCCAGCCAUGCCGCGUGCGGGAAGAAGGCCUUCGGGUUGUAAACCGCUUUCGGCCGGAACGAAAUCGCCCGGGUGAACAUCCCGGGUGGAUGACGGUACCGGAAGAAGAAGCACCGGCUAACUACGUGCCAGCAGCCGCGGUAAUACGUAGGGUGCGAGCGUUAAUCGGAAUUACUGGGCGUAAAGCGUGCGCAGGCGGUCUCGUAAGACAGGUGUGAAAUCCCCGGGCUUAACCUGGGAACUGCGCCUUGUGAACUG
This 611-nucleotide ribosomal RNA is filed under the name uncultured soil bacterium. Its description in RNAcentral is "bacterial SSU rRNA". It matches the Rfam family "Bacterial small subunit ribosomal RNA", at positions 28 to 635 of the family's 1533-position model. The record is from RNAcentral.